GAUGAACGCUGGCGGCGUGCCUAAUACAUGCAAGUCGAGCGAACGGACGAGAAGCUUGCUUUUCUGAUGUUAGCGGCGGACGGGAGUAUAACGCGUGGAUAACCUACUUAUAAUACGGGGAACACUUCGGGAAACCGGAUCUAAUCCCGUAGAAUAUCUUGCACCGUGUUGUUCAAUAGUGAAAUACGGUCUUUCUGUCACUUAUAGAGGGAUCCGCGCUGUAUUAGCUAGUUGUUAAGGUAACGGCUUUCCAAGGCAACGAGGCAUAGCCGACGUGAGAGGGUGAUCGCCCACACUGGAACUGAGACACGGUCAAGACUCCUACGGGAGGCAGCAGUAGGGUAUCUUCCGCAAUAGGCGAGAACAUGACGGAGCAGCGCCGCGUGUGAGAUGAAGAUCUUGGGAUCGUAAAACUCUGUUAUUAGGGAAGAACAUAUGUGUAAGUAACUGUGCACAUCUUGACGGUACCUAAUCAGAAAGCCACGGCUAACUACGUG
RNAcentral lists this ribosomal RNA (497 nucleotides) under uncultured bacterium. Its description in RNAcentral is "partial 16S ribosomal RNA". It matches the Rfam family "Bacterial small subunit ribosomal RNA", at positions 28 to 507 of the family's 1533-position model. The record is from RNAcentral.